Long non-coding RNA from Cyprinus carpio carpio, 1198 nucleotides. Lineage: Eukaryota; Metazoa; Chordata; Actinopteri; Cypriniformes; Cyprinidae. The record is from Ensembl.
GUAGUGCAGUGGGUGAGUCUGUCUUUGACGUGUGUGCACUAAAGCUUUGCAGUGCUGUGCCGUUUCCCUGUUGUCUGUACUUGCCCUCCAGGCCGAGAAAAGUUCCUGUUGGAAAGAACGUAGGCUGCCGUGGCGGUGCCCACCUAUCCCACCUACGCCCGCCUAUAACUCCGUUCUCCGGACCCAGCUCGAAGGUGAAGUGUGAAAGCAAAACAAGGUAUUGUGCGGAUAUUGUGGGGAAAGCUACUGACCUUGAAUACGCUCUGUAAGCCCAGCCGUGAAGAUACAGUUACUUGUUGAAUACUUACCUGUCUGUACGAGCUAAAAGCUAUUGCCCUUGAAUACGCUCUGUAAGCCCAGCGUGAAGAUACAGUCACUUGUUGAAUACUCACCUGUUUGUACGAGCUAAAAGCUACUGACCUUGAAUACGCCCUGUAAAGCCCAGUGUGAAGAUACAGCUACUUGUUGAAUACUUACCCGCCUGCACGAGUUAAAAGCCAUUGCUCUGGAACCCGCUCAGUAAGCCUAGUGUGAAGAGUCAGUCACCUUGCUCAAUAUCUAUCUGUGAUACGAGUAAAAAGUUACUCGCUUCUGAUAUACCGGUGGACAUCCAGGGGCAUGGCCUAGUUACCUUGCUACAUCCUUACCGUUGUUCCUUACCUGUGCCCUCAGGGAUUUGGGUGUUACCUUAUAUCUACCUAGGAGGUCUAUGGGAGUGGAGGAGCUGUCCAGACGCUGGAGAAGAGAAGGGCGCCACGGGAAAUCAAGCAGUUAAGGAAGGACUUAGGAUUAGUCAGGAGACUGGUGGAAGUUCUGGGAAAGGACGGAAGAGCCCUUGCCCCCCCCCUCCCCUGGUGAUUACUUACCAAAGACCUCCAGAGUUCUCAGGCCCAGUCCCCUCCUGUCAAGAGACGAAAAUCAAAGUUUUAGAUUCCCCUUUUCUCCUUUCCUAGAUUACCUUUUUAAAUAAUUUAAAUAAAGUUGUUUUAAAUUCCCUUAACUCAUCUUGUGUGUCUGGUCCUUGGGGUGAUCUUGGGACCUCCUCGAGGUGGAAGUCGGGAAGGGGCGUGACUCGCAACACCUGUGGUCCGCUCCGACCUGUGACAGAUUUUGGCGUAGUCGGCAGGGUUCCACCUCGAGUGGAGCGACCACGGUCCCCCAAUGGCCGACAACGAGCUGCCAGGAGUCCCGCCCCGAG